This 253-nucleotide ribosomal RNA is filed under the name uncultured bacterium. RNAcentral describes it as "partial 16S ribosomal RNA". It matches the Rfam family "Bacterial small subunit ribosomal RNA", at positions 524 to 776 of the family's 1533-position model. The record is from RNAcentral.
UACGAAGGGUGCAAGCGUUAAUCGGAAUUACUGGGCGUAAAGCGCGCGCAGGUGGUUCAGUAAGUUGGAAGUGAAAUCCCCGGGCUCAACCUGGGAACUGCUUUCAAAACUGCUGAGCUAGAGUACGGUAGAGGGUGGUGGAAUUUCCUGUGUAGCGGUGAAAUGCGUAGAUAUAGGAAGGAACACCAGUGGCGAAGGCGACCACCUGGACUGAUACUGACACUGAGGUGCGAAAGCGUGGGGAGCAAACAGG